Molecule: ribosomal RNA, 807 nt
Filed under: Streptomyces sp.
Lineage: Bacteria; Bacillati; Actinomycetota; Actinomycetes; Kitasatosporales; Streptomycetaceae
Description: bacterial SSU rRNA
Rfam family: Bacterial small subunit ribosomal RNA
Source: RNAcentral
CGAACGAUGAACCACAUUCGGUGGGGAUUAGUGGCGAACGGGUGAGUAACACGUGGGCAAUCUGCCCUGCACUCUGGGACAAGCCCUGGAAACGGGGUCUAAUACCGGAUACUGAUCACCGCAGGCAUCUGUGGUGUUCGAAAGCUCCGGCGGUGCAGGAUGAGCCCGCGGCCUAUCAGCUUGUUGGUGAGGUAAUGGCUCACCAAGGCGACGACGGGUAGCCGGCCUGAGAGGGCGACCGGCCACACUGGGACUGAGACACGGCCCAGACUCCUACGGGAGGCAGCAGUGGGGAAUAUUGCACAAUGGGCGAAAGCCUGAUGCAGCGACGCCGCGUGAGGGAUGACGGCCUUCGGGUUGUAAACCUCUUUCAGCAGGGAAGAAGCGAAAGUGACGGUACCUGCAGAAGAAGCGCCGGCUAACUACGUGCCAGCAGCCGCGGUAAUACGUAGGGCGCGAGCGUUGUCCGGAAUUAUUGGGCGUAAAGAGCUCGUAGGCGGCUUGUCACGUCGGUUGUGAAAGCCCGGGGCUUAACCCCGGGUCUGCAGUCGAUACGGGCAGGCUAGAGUUCGGUAGGGGAGAUCGGAAUUCCUGGUGUAGCGGUGAAAUGCGCAGAUAUCAGGAGGAACACCGGUGGCGAAGGCGGAUCUCUGGGCCGAUACUGACGCUGAGGAGCGAAAGCGUGGGGAGCGAACAGGAUUAGAUACCCUGGUAGUCCACGCCGUAAACGGUGGGCACUAGGUGUGGGCAACAUUCCACGUUGUCCGUGCCGCAGCUAACGCAUUAAGUGCCCCGCCUGGGGAGUAC